UACGUAGGGCGCAAGCGUUGUCCGGAAUUAUUGGGCGUAAAGAGCUUGUAGGCGGUUUGUCGCGUCUGCUGUGAAAUUUCGGGGCUCAACCCCGAACUUGCAGUGGGUACGGGCAGACUAGAGUGUGGUAGGGGAGACUGGAAUUCCUGGUGUAGCGGUGAAAUGCGCAGAUAUCAGGAGGAACACCGAUGGCGAAGGCAGGUCUCUGGGCCAUAACUGACGCUGAGAAGCGAAAGCAUGGGGAGCGAACAGG
This 253-nucleotide ribosomal RNA is filed under the name uncultured bacterium. RNAcentral describes it as "partial 16S ribosomal RNA". It matches the Rfam family "Bacterial small subunit ribosomal RNA", at positions 524 to 776 of the family's 1533-position model. The record is from RNAcentral.